UCCAUUGCGCAUGGUCUGCUGGCUUGGCGCCAUGUUUGUGGGAAUGUCUUAUCGCAGCCAGAGUAUGUUUUAUGCCAUGCCUACAUUGCUACAGUACCAUGAACAGUGUUACAUAUUGGCAAAAUGAGCUGAGUUCUGUGUGUUAUUUACAGGCAGAAAGUUCUUUUUGGGUUCUUUUCAUCACCUACUUAUACAAUGCUGGCUCCCUGAAAUUAAAGGCUUCUGAUCUCAAAGACUGCUGUUUUAAUUGUACCUUUAAAUUGUUUUUUUUGUUGAUAUUUUCAACUUCAUUGCCUUUUAUUUUUAUUUUAGGAAUCUCAUAAUACUCUGCACAUUUUGACAAGCUGUACUGGAGACAGAUCUGUCUCUGUGAGUAAUAAACUAUGCUCCGCAGCAAAAUAGCGUUUCCAGAUCCUGUUCUGCACGUUACCAGAUUCAACUCCUUCUCGAGCGUGUGUUUAUUGGAGCACGGAUGAAGCGUCCUUCACCACGUCUCCAAGCUUUGCAGCUUUACCUCAGACCUGAACUAUCAAUAAACACUGGUUUUGAUUUCA
Tachysurus fulvidraco (yellow catfish) is the source of this 554-nucleotide long non-coding RNA. RefSeq lists it as uncharacterized. The record is from RefSeq and is a predicted model, not a curated record. Lineage: Eukaryota; Metazoa; Chordata; Actinopteri; Siluriformes; Bagridae. The transcript has 2 exons.